AAGAGGGUCGGCCUCAUUCUCUUCCUCAAACCUUAUCUCUUCUUCCCCAUUCCUCACCCAGAUCCGAAGAUACUUCGAUUUCUAGUCGCCUAAACGUUGGAAUCCAUAUCAUUCUUUUCUUCCCAAGGUCAAAUUUCUCGAUCGAUUGGGUUCUUAAUUCUUUGGAUCGUAUUGUAGUCGGUAGGCUGUUGUUUUAGGAGAUGUAUUCCAAAAGAUGAGCAGACAGUGAGAUUGGAUUCUGUUGAUGGUCGUCUCCUCCUCAAAGAAGCUGAACGAGUUGAUGGCGAGGGAUGUUGGUUUCAGGACCCUGGCGUUCUUGAUCUGGAUAAGGUAAAGGCUGUAAUUCAUCCCUCUCAGCUUUUGAUGUGGCCUCCGAGUCCCCGACGCAUGCGUAAGCCAUUCUCAAAAUUGAAAGGUGAGAGCCUAAUUCCCCUAACACCAAAACCCCAAUUCGAAUUGGGCACUGAGGAUCCAAACCUCAAUUUCAAUUCUACAAGGUAACCAUCUCGAUUCCUCAUAGUUUUUCCACAUCAAUACACGAAUUAGGAUUUCCAAGAUUACCUUACUUAUAUGUACUUUGUUAAAUUUUUUAAAUUUCGUGUUCAUAGCUACUCUGCUAGUCUUUUUGGGGCGUGAAAUUGAAGAUUCCAAUGUGUUUCGCUUGAAAUUUAGAGCUCCAGGGAGAAGCCUUUUCUGUAUGAAAUUGUGGCAACUGGGCGUAAUGGUUUGAUUAUCUUGUCCGUCACAGCCGAGCUUGUGAGUUUUUAUGUCUAAUUUAUUGGUUAACUAUUGUAAUUUGUGUAUUUACUUGAUUAUAUGGUUUGCCAAUUUGUUGGGUAGAAAUUGAGUUGAGGAAAAGGAUUGGAAAUUUGGGAUUAUGUGGUUUUUGCUGAUAAUACACACACACUGUCUCUCUCUCUCUCUCUCAGUUUUCUAUUAAUUAAGAUCUCUCUUCUUCGCCUCUCUUUACUUCCUCACACAAUCCAAAGAUCGAAACUUUAAAUGAAAUCUACAAUUUACUGCUGCUUUGUUGUUGAGUUUCGAAAAUUCUUGUUUACAAUAGAAACUUCUUGAUGAGAAUCCUUAUUCUCUACUCAAACUGAUUCGUUUUCUCUUUCUCUAGUUUGAUUUUGAUAAUGCUACCCCACCAAAACAAGCCUAGAGGAGGAAGUUAAACAGCCAUGCUAACUUUUAUAAAUGAAAUAUUCUUUUGGUUUUUAGUUUUUACCCAGUAUUGUGGGUACCCUGCACUAUAUAUUCUAUUUGAGAAAUUGUUGUGGACUAUAUGCUCUCAAAUUCCCCUGAAUGGAUGUAGCCUAUAUAUCUAGGUUCAAUGCUGGAUGCCUGUAGUUCUGAGUCUCUGUCGGUAAUU
Rosa rugosa (rugosa rose) is the source of this 1372-nucleotide long non-coding RNA. RefSeq lists it as uncharacterized. Lineage: Eukaryota; Viridiplantae; Streptophyta; Magnoliopsida; Rosales; Rosaceae. The record is from RefSeq and is a predicted model, not a curated record. The transcript is spliced from 3 exons.